RNAcentral lists this non-coding RNA (121 nucleotides) under Bordetella genomosp. 1. RNAcentral describes it as "Bordetella genomosp. Glycine sequence". It matches the Rfam family "Glycine riboswitch aptamer". Rfam says of the family: This family represents the bacterial glycine riboswitch. Glycine riboswitches usually consist of two metabolite-binding aptamers domains with similar structures in tandem. The aptamers cooperatively bind glycine to regulate the expression of downstream genes. Lineage: Bacteria; Pseudomonadati; Pseudomonadota; Betaproteobacteria; Burkholderiales; Alcaligenaceae. The record is from RNAcentral.
ACACAGCGCUCUGGAGAGAUCCGGCCACCCGUCGAGCGGUGCGCCCGGACGCCGAAGGUGCAAACCCGCCAUUUUCCAUAUGCGCGGGGCAACUCUCAGGCAAAAGGACAGAGGGGCGGAA